RNAcentral lists this transfer RNA (71 nucleotides) under Bos taurus (domestic cattle). It matches the Rfam family "tRNA". Rfam says of the family: Transfer RNA (tRNA) molecules are approximately 80 nucleotides in length. Their secondary structure includes four short double-helical elements and three loops (D, anti-codon, and T loops). Lineage: Eukaryota; Metazoa; Chordata; Mammalia; Artiodactyla; Bovidae. The record is from Rfam by way of RNAcentral. RNAcentral also lists the same sequence under 5 other names.
UCCUGGUGGUUCAGAUGGUAAAGCAUCUGCCUACAAUGCAGGAGACCCAGGUUCAAUCCCUGGGUUGGGAA